GCAGUCGAACGAUGAUGCCCAGCUUGCUGGGCGGAUUAGUGGCGAACGGGUGAGUAAUACGUGAGUAACCUGCCCUUGACUCUGGGAUAAGCCUGGGAAACUGGGUCUAAUACUGGAUACUACCUCUUGCCGCAUGGUGGGUGGUGGAAAGGGUUUUACUGGUUUUGGAUGGGCUCACGGCCUAUCAGCUUGUUGGUGGGGUAAUGGCUCACCAAGGCGACGACGGGUAGCCGGCCUGAGAGGGUGACCGGCCACACUGGGACUGAGACACGGCCCAGACUCCUACGGGAGGCAGCAGUGGGGAAUAUUGCACAAUGGGCGGAAGCCUGAUGCAGCGACGCCGCGUGAGGGAUGACGGCCUUCGGGUUGUAAACCUCUUUCAGUAGGGAAGAAGCGAGAGUGACGGUACCUGCAGAAGAAGCGCCGGCUAACUACGUGCCAGCAGCCGCGGUAAUACGUAGGGCGCAAGCGUUGUCCGGAAUUAUUGGGCGUAAAGAGCUCGUAGGCGGUUUGUCGCGUCUGCUGUGAAAGCCCGGGGCUCAACCCCGGGUCUGCAGUGGGUACGGGCAGACUAGAGUGCAGUAGGGGAGACUGGAAUUCCUGGUGUAGCGGUGAAAUGCGCAGAUAUCAGGAGGAACACCGAUGGCGAAGGCAGGUCUCUGGGCUGUUACUGACGCUGAGGAGCGAAAGCAUGGGGAGCGAACAGGAUUAGAUACCCUGGUAGUCCAUGCCGUAAACGUUGGGCACUAGGUGUGGGGGACAUUCCACGUUUUCGCGCCGUAGCUAACGCAUUAAGUGCCCCGCCUGGGGGAGUACGGCCGCAAGGCUAAAACUCAAAGGAAUUGACGGGGGCCCGCACAAGCGGCGGAAGCAUGCGGAUUAAUUCGAUGCAACGCGAAGAACCUUACCAAGGCUUGACAUUCACCCGGACCCCCCAGAGAUGGGGUUUCCCUUCGGGGCUGGUGGACAGGUGGUGCAUGGUUGUCGUCAGCUCGUGUCGUGAGAUGUUGGGUUAAGUCCCGCAACGAGCGCAACCCUCGUUUUAUGUUGCCAGCACGUGAUGGUGGGGACUCAUAGGAGACUGCCGGGGUCAACUCGGAGGAAGGUGGGGAUGACGUCAAAUCAUCAUGCCCCUUAUGUCUUGGGCUUCACGCAUGCUACAAUGGCCGGUACAAAGGGUUGCGAUACUGUGAGGUGGAGCUAAUCCCAAAAAGCCGGUCUCAGUUCGGAUUGAGGUCUGCAACUCGACCUCAUGAAGUCGGAGUCGCUAGUAAUCGCAGAUCAGCAACGCUGCGGUGAAUACGUUCCCGGGCCUUGUACACACCGCCCGUCAAGUCACGAAAGUUGGUAACACCCGAAGCCGGUGGCCUAACCCCUUGUGGGAGGGAGCCGUCGAAGGUGGGACUGGCGAUUGGA
Molecule: ribosomal RNA, 1416 nt
Filed under: Kocuria rosea
Lineage: Bacteria; Bacillati; Actinomycetota; Actinomycetes; Micrococcales; Micrococcaceae
Description: bacterial SSU rRNA
Rfam family: Bacterial small subunit ribosomal RNA
Source: RNAcentral